This is a long non-coding RNA of Daucus carota subsp. sativus, 2497 nucleotides long. RefSeq lists it as uncharacterized. The transcript is spliced from 5 exons. The record is from RefSeq and is a predicted model, not a curated record. NCBI's taxonomy places the organism in Eukaryota, Viridiplantae, Streptophyta, Magnoliopsida, Apiales, Apiaceae.
UGGAGGCUUUGGGCUUGGAAUUAUGAUGGGUAAAGAGUUUCUAUAUGGAUAGAAAGCAUUGUUAAAUUCAGUAUUAUAAGGCACAUGGCUAUAUUCGAGCAAAAAAAGAAUAAAUACAGGUGGUUUUUCACGCAGUUAUAAUGCAUAUUGGUAAAAUUUUGGUACUCCUUAUAUGCAGAGAGCUUGGGAGCCGGUUGUGGACACAUGUGCAAAUUAUAAUGGAUGAGAAAGAAUUAUUGCUAAUAUGUCAUUACAAAAACUCUUAACGGGAGAGGUCGGAGGCUAUGCGGUUGGAGAAUCAACAGUGGUUUAUGAUUUGGAUUCCUAUCAAAAUUUGGAGAUUCCCACUUGAUCCAAUAUCUCCUCUGUCCACGAAUAAUAAAUUCUAAAUCGGUUCUAAUUUGGAAACAAUCAUAGAAGUUGGUGAUUUGUGCUCUACCACAAUGAAAUUCUACAUCAGCCAUGGCUUUCAGUUGCCUAAAAAUGGAAGAUAACUCACAUGAGUCUAUUGUCUCUUCUUCGAUUAAAAUUCUUUGAGGCAUUGUCUUUUGGUAUGACAUUACUUUGGUGUUUUGAUAUUUGUUUUCGUGUUUUUGCAAAUUCUUCUAUAUUGGGUCAGUACAGAGCAAAUAUUGUAUUGUUGGCAUACUACUGUAGGAAGUAUGCCAGCAAUAUUAGGCUACAGGUUUAAAUCUCCCCUACUAUGGUCCAAACUCAGCAAUUAGUAGAAUAGUCAAGGAACAUAUUAUUAAGGAAGAUAGUGCGUACUUAUAGUGAGAUGUGAAAUAUGUCAACAAGCUAUAAUUCUGACAGUAGACAUGUAUCAGCAACUGCAACAGAACCUGCAACACUACCUCCAGCAGUUGUAACGUCAGCAAGCCACUUUCUCCAAUCACGGUGAUAAUGGUACCUAGAGUAGGUGAUAGAGCACCAAAUCCAGCAGCAAUUGGUGGAGCGGCUAAGUCUGUUAAAUAGUGUAUAAGCUGAUUAUGAGAAUCCUUUGGUUCUUUAUUAAAGCUUCGUUAAAAUUUCCUCAGAAAUAGGGAUAGUAUUAUUCCACCAGUAAUCGCCAUAAGGUUAAAUGAAGGGUCUGCUGGUAUGGAAUGUUUUUGAGGCAUGGAUUCUUUCAAGUGGCUGUAGGUGUGCUGAUACUGAGGUUCCACCUUUCAAGCAGCCACCCUCACACUGAUCUUUUGAUGUGUCUUUCAAGCAUCUUUGUAGGAGCAUCCGGCCUUUCAUGUUUAUUUUAUUUGUUAUCUGAGGUUCCAUGGAGAUCAAUAAGCUUUAUCUCAGUUUCUGUAUACCUCAACAUAUCACUCAUCAGUUAUCACUGUCUUAGUAGCAGGAGUAGUGGACAUGUCCGGGACAGGAUCAGUAGAAUACAUUUCAUCAAUCUCAUCAUCAGAUCUAUCAUUAACUCUUUUCAGGGACUUGCAAGCAAAACUUUUUUGUAUUCUUUGGUGAGAUCAUAGGACUUUGGGUCGGGUUUCGUGAAGGAUGAAAAAAAUACCCAGAAGCCUCUUUUAUGGAUUCCAAGCUCAGCUUCUCCGAUAACAAGGAGAAUGAUACCGCUCGGAAAUGGUGCUGGACUAAAAUUUCGAAUGAAAAUGCACUGGUAAAUGUAUGAUUUACAGACAUUAAUUUUGUGAAUAUAUAAUAUUAUCUCAAUAGAAUUCCAACAUUUAUACAGCGCACAUGCGAAAUUCCCAUGAUACUGCUCUCGAUAGGUAUCUGUAUGAUCGGAUGAUUAGGAUUCAACAAAGCAAGCGUUCAACUUCGCAUCCAGAUUCAGUGUUGGAUAAGCCAAAUAUUAUUAAGAACUAUAUUUCUAUGAGUUGUGGCUGAGCGUCUUGGCUCUUUACACUCGAUAGUGAUGUAUGGCUUCCUGAUUCCUUAUAUCUGUUUAAUGAUUUUGAAUUUUAAAAAUCUUUGUAACAUUUAAACUUAGUUGCUUAUCUAAUGUACAAACAUUGGACGCUUCGUGUCCGUGUCCCUGCCCCCUUUCUCUUCCUUGGGCUUUGGGUUUUUGUCCAACUUCCAACUCAAUAUCUUAGUCAUCCUUCUUUUCGUUUAUUUUUUAAAUUUGUCCACUUUGUAGGAACUACCGGUACACACUAUUGUAAUGCCUGCUAAGUGGAAUUCUUUACAUCAGAUUAUAGCUGAAGGCAACCUGUACAUUGUGUCAAAUUUUUAUACUAGGCAAGCAACUCGAGGACUUAGGCCUGUUUCUACCCCCAAAGUGCAUUGUCUUUACACAAAUGAUCAGUGUUGAAUUAAUAAAUGAAUAGGACUACACUGUACCACUCAACAUAUUUGUGUUUGUAAAGAUUGACGACCCGUACGAUGUUUCAGGCAAUGGUUGAGGUUCCCGCAGAUACUAUUGUUGUGUUUGGUUGAGAGGAAUGAAAUUUGUUAAGAAUGGAAUGAGAUUAGGAAUGGAAUGGUGAGAGAAUGGAAAGAAGGUUGAAUGGAAUGAUCAAUUCAAAGUUUGGUUAUU